Molecule: ribosomal RNA, 427 nt
Filed under: uncultured bacterium
Lineage: Bacteria
Description: partial 16S ribosomal RNA
Rfam family: Bacterial small subunit ribosomal RNA
Source: RNAcentral
UGGGGAAUAUUGGACAAUGGGCGAAAGCCUGAUCCAGCCAUGCCGCGUGUGUGAAGAAGGUCUUCGGAUUGUAAAGCACUUUAAGUUGGGAGGAAGGGCAUUAACCUAAUACGUUAGUGUUUUGACGUUACCGACAGAAUAAGCACCGGCUAACUCUGUGCCAGCAGCCGCGGUAAUACAGAGGGUGCAAGCGUUAAUCGGAAUUACUGGGCGUAAAGCGGGCGUAGGGUGUUUGUUAAGGUGGAUGUGAAAUCCCCGGGCUCAACCUGGGAACUGCAGUCAAAACUGACUGACUAGAGUAUGGUAGAGGGUGGUGGAAUUUCCUGUGUAGCGGUGAAAUGCGUAGAUAUAGGAAGGAACACCAGUGGCGAAGGCGACCACCUGGACUAAUACUGACACUGAGGUGCGAAAGCGUGGGGAGCAAACA